RNAcentral lists this long non-coding RNA (2715 nucleotides) under Marmota monax (woodchuck). The record is from RNAcentral. Lineage: Eukaryota; Metazoa; Chordata; Mammalia; Rodentia; Sciuridae.
AUUAGGAUUAUUUUUAAAAGUUUCUUUCUUUUCUAUUUUUCUUUUGUAAACCAUUUCUUUUCCUCAGUCUGUUGAACACACGAUGCUGUACUGCUAUCUGGGACUUUAUUUUACACAAUUGAUUGACUCAUUGCAUUGCUUAUGGAUCUUAAACAGUUUCAAGUUUGUCUUGAUGAUAUUGACAGUGCCACCUUUAUUUGUUCCAAAAUAUUAAUAUUUCAUAAAUGUUUUACACAUUGGGAAAAACAGUGGAUUGUAUAUUAUGCAUAAAUUCAGAUUUACUAGUAAUGUCAGUGAAAUUUGUCAACCAGCGGACACACAUGAAUGCAUGUGUAUUUGUUCCUAUGAACAUUUACACUUAUUUCUUUUUUUAAAAAAAUUUAGACAUUGAUGAAUCUUUAUUUUAUUUAUUUAUUUAUAUAUGAUGCUGAGAAUUGAAUCCACUGCCUCACACAUGUUAGGCAAGUGCUCUACCACUGAGGUACAACCCUAGCCCUACCCUUAUGUCUUUUAAUGUCAUUUUACAUUACUUUUAUUAAUAAUCUAUGACAUUGAGCAUUUUUAUUAUGUGGUUUUUAAUCUAAAAUAAUUCCAUCAUUUUAUUACAUUUAAUUACUUUGUGUAUUUAUUACUUUCUCCUGUUUUUCAUAUUUUACUGACAGUACAUUUCCCAUUUGUAUGUCUUUCAUACAGAUAAUUUAUCAGGUAGCAUAGUUUCUUUUCACUUCAUGCUACAUUUUUAUGGACUUGACUACAUUUUAAUGGAGUUGAAUUUACCAAUCUGUUCUUGGAAUUCCUUGGUUUUCUUCUAUAAAUCUCUUACAAGACAGAAGUGGGUGUUGAGCUCCCAAAGUUAAAUCCUUAGAUUUUAAGCCUCAUCUCCAGAGACUGAUUAGUUUUGCAGUUACAGAUCAUCCAUCAAUCUGGCCCCAGAGCUGGUGGACAUGUUUAUUUCACUGCAAACAAGUUUUCUGUUUGAAAUGUGGGUCAAGCAGUCCUCACCUGAGUUAGCUAAAAUGUUUGUUUUCUUGCUUUUAACUCUUUAUUUUUAAAAAGUUACUGUUGUAUAACCUCCAUUUUUAUAUGUGUUUAAUAAUUAUAUUCCUUUGUGUGAAUAAUUUUUUGCUUUUAUGAAAUAGACCAAAAGAGAAAGUGUCCAAAGCCUUGGUCAUCCAGACACCAGCCAGGCCUGGCUUGUGUAGUCCUCCCAUACUGAGGCCAGAUUGGCUGGCUUGAACAACUGAGGUGUGAUCAGACACACAUGCACACAUGGUUCCUUGUCUAGAAGGAAGACACAGGAGUAGCUUCCUAAAGGAGGGUGAAGACAAUUCUCCCAGCUCCUGAAGGCAGAUGAAGAUGUGCAAAAAUUCAAAUGUCCCUUCUGAGCAACAAACUGGCUGAGAAAAGCUGCAGCCAAGAGUGUGUCACUCUGACAUCAUUCACCCAGGGUUUGAUGUGCCUCCUGGCACUCUGAGUCUGUAUGGAGGCUGAUGCGCUCCCCAGUCAUGGACUCUGGGAGGGAUCUGCCCAAUCAGGCCUGCACUCAGAAAGGAGAGGAUGUCCUUCCAUAGUUGCAUAGAAUUUUGUCUGUCAUGCCCCUAGAGCUCUGAAGUCUCCUCUCUUGUGAGGCCCAGGUGGCUCUGCUGGGGCCUAUGUCACCCUCUGAGCUGCAGGUCAUGUAAGAAUUCUAGGAAUGGUGUUAAGAUACAUAGAAUGCCAGAAAAUGUAGAAUCUGCAGAUUUUUUAAAAGGGAGAAUCAGCUAUGGAGGGACUGUCUCCUGCCUAAAAUUCACUACAGGUUCAGCUGAUCUAGGUUCACUGCUGUGGCAUUAUGGCCUUUUGAGCUUUCUGGACUGUGGAGUAGAAGAUCAGCCAGCAGCUGGAAGCUCUGGGCAUUCUGUCUUUACAAAGAGCCAUCACUUGGCAUCUGUAGAUCUCCUCUGUUUGUGCAGAGUACACAAAACAUCAUUCUGGGAGAAGCCACGUUGGUGGAUGUGGUUCCUGUGAAGGAGGCACUUUUUUGACAGCAGACAUCAGCUCUUCCUUUCUCCCCAGGGUUGUUCAUUUUCUGUGAUUCUCCCACAAUGUGAGAGGCAGGGUCUCAGAACUUAGACCUUGCCCUCUCUAUGGCUGCUCACAGGGCUGACAACAAAUCCUUUAUUUUAGAGUUUCCUUCACAGACAUCAAAAUAUCAAUUUUCCCUUUAUAGUUCACAGGAUUAUUAACAAUUUUACCCCUGCAACAUUUAAAGCUGACACAGUAUUUUAAUUGCCAUUGUCCCUAUGUAAUGUAUAAUCCUUUUGAAAAUGUUUGUUUUCAGGAGGUGAAUGUUUCAUAUGGAUGGAAAGUAGAGAAUAAUCACCAGACUAUGCUUUACAGAAUCUUUGUGCCUCCUUUUUUCUUUCUUAGGCACAGUCACCUUAUCACCAUAUCUUUGACAACUAUAUUAAUUUAUAUCUGGGAUGUCUCCAAAAUCUCAAUGUUGAAACAUGAUCCCCAAUUGCAGCAAGGUGGAGAGAUAGAUUUUUAGACCAUAAUUGGAUAAUGCGGGCACGGGUUUCUGUAUACUUGUUCAUUAAUGACUGAAUACGCUAGUGGGAAGGGGGCAAUAGUUGGAGGAAGUAGGUCACUGGGGUAGUCCUCCCCUGAACAGGAUCAUCUUCUCCCAGCACCUUCCUCCUCUGCUGCCUUGCUGCCAUGAGCUGAACAGCUUUU